AAUUUUGGACAAUGGGGGAAACCCUGAUCCAGCGAUCACGCGUGUGCGAUGAAGGCCUNCGGGUUNUNAAGCACUUUUGUCAGGGNAGAAAAGGUUCUGGCUAAUACCCGGUACUGAGUACGGUACCUGAAGAAUAAGCACCGGCUAACUACGUGCCAGCAGCCGAGGUAAUACGUAGGGUGCAAGCGUCAAUCGGAAUUACUGGUCGUAAAGCGUGCGCAGGCAGUUCGGAAAGAAGGAUGUUAAAUCCCAUGGCUCAACCUUGGAACUGCAUUCUUAACUACCGAACUAGAGUAUGGCAGAGGGGGGUAGAAUUCCGCGCGUAGCAGUGAAAUGCGUAGAUAUGCGGAGGAAUACCGAUGGCGAAGGCAGCCCCCUGGGAUAAUACUGACGCUCAUGCACGAAAGCGUGGGUAGCAAACAGG
RNAcentral lists this ribosomal RNA (424 nucleotides) under uncultured bacterium. RNAcentral's name for it is "partial 16S ribosomal RNA". It matches the Rfam family "Bacterial small subunit ribosomal RNA", at positions 360 to 776 of the family's 1533-position model. The record is from RNAcentral.